Lynx canadensis (Canada lynx) is the source of this 2270-nucleotide long non-coding RNA. RefSeq lists it as uncharacterized. The record is from RefSeq and is a predicted model, not a curated record. Lineage: Eukaryota; Metazoa; Chordata; Mammalia; Carnivora; Felidae. The transcript has 3 exons.
UUUUUCUAAUUAAUUUGGUGGCAAAACUUAACCUGAACUGAUGUGGACAUUUUUAAAAUAGGCUUUACCUCACAUGGUCUUAAUUUUCAUACAGUUACCUCAAAAAUAAUGUGUUGGGAUACAGAAUGCUUGAGAUGGUUCAUAAAAUAUUGCACACACUCAGGUUGGCUUUUUCACAUCCUAAUGAAUUAGGUCUUUAGGGCCACGUUAAGCAGAAGAGAAUUACACUUUUUUAAUCCUCAUAACGAGCUCUUAAAUUAGGUACACUGGUUAUCUCCAUUAUGUAUACGGCUGGGGAAACCCACAGAGGUCAAGUAGCCUACUCAAGGUCAGAGAGCUAGUGAGUCGAGAAGCUGGCUUGUUGAAUUCUUGAACACUGUUUUCCAUCUGUUUUCCAUCUUUUGCGUCAAAACAAACAUGGGCAAAGCCCCAGGAGUGUAUGAAGUAUAGAGUCUAGGCCCUUUACCCCCUGCUUCUCCAACCCAGUUUCUCGGAUAUGUUGUUGACUAGUUUUGUACACAUCUUUCCAGGCAAUUUUCUGUCCCGUACAAACGCAGACACAUAUAAGCAAGUGUUAAAUAUCAGUCUAUACGCUCAACGGUAUAAGAGAUGUAACAGAAUAUUUCCAUUAAAUGUCAUUUCUCUUUUAAGCCUCCGUUCUGGGAUUGCAAGAAGUGAAAUCUCAGAACGCAGAACAGUUCCAGCCAGUCCCAGAUUUCCCCAGGGAAUUCGUUAUCGCCGCCUUCCCACCUGCAGGUGUCAGUCCAUUUGGGGGAGUCUUGAAGUGAAGGGUGGGUGGUGAAAUGGUGAGGGCUCCAUCUACUCCUUUGCUUCCAUUUACAGUAGUAGCUACUGACAUGUUUUAUUUUUUCCAUUGCUUGCUACAGGCAUUGAGAGAGAAGUCUUUAACUUAUCAGAUGCUAAAUUAAAUGAAUAUUUACUGCCAUCUAUAUAGGGUCUAGUCUGCAGGGAAAACAGCAUACUGGAUGAAGCAAUUCUUUCAUUGGUAAAGAUCCAAUGCUUUGAGUAAAUCUUGGGAAAAAUUGUAUAAUCAAGUUUUACCAUAAGAUCCCCCCAAACCCUAUGACACAGUGGAAGAACAACCUAGAUGUCGAGGCCAGAUUUGCAUGAGGAGGGAAUUAUAUGAGAUCCAUAAAAGAGAGGAUGAGGAGGAGCCAAAAGAAGCUAUAUCAAGAAUGUAAGCUCCAGCACUCAUACGGGAUCUGGUGUAUGUUGCAUCCAGUUCUAAAGGUAAUUGUUACUCUGGCGAGUUUCUUUCUACGGCACAAUAUUUCACGUAUCAGGGAGUUUGCUGACCAUAAUUUGGAGGCAACUUCACAGAGUGAAUAAAAGCAGAGGCUGCACACAGAUACUGGUGGAAUGUGAAUCCUGACUCCAUUACCUACAUUACCUUGUGACUCUGGGCAAAUUUCUUAAACUCCCCGCACCUCGGUUUAUUCAAGUAUAAAACAUGAACGUAAAGAUACCUCCCUCACACACGUCUUAGGGGAGAUAUUAAGUGCAUUAAAUGAGAUAAUUCAUGCGAGGGAUUAGGAGAGGGUUUGGUCAGCAUUGGCUCUUAGAACGAUGAUUUCCUUUGAGAGAUUUAAGGGUAACAGAAUUACAAUUACUGAAAAGGUAACUGGGCUGUGGUAAGCCAGGGGACUUUGAGCCAUGACAGUUAUUGAUAUGGUGGCAGACAAAAGACUAUAGGCAACCAAUAAUACUUGGGUGGGAAUGAGGAAAUGGACAAUUUUGAGUUCCAGAACGGUUUAGAUUUUUUUUUCUGACUUCCGAACUUUGGAGUCCAUUGGGAUUUAUUGCCUUCCUUUUUUUUUUUUUUUAUUACAUCUGUAUUUGGUUUGGUUCCUGAAGCAUAAGGUCUCUGAGGCGAGGUGCAUGUCUGACUCCUCAUUCCUUGAACUUAGUGAAAUAUAUACAGUGCUAAGAUGGAAACAAGCUUUUGCUCAUAAUAAUAUUCUAUAAAGGACCUUGGAUUUGUUCAUUUUGGUGGCAGAAUGUGUGGAGCACUUAGAGUGUUCUCUGUAACUGUACCUAUGUAUGUAUUUUUCCCCUUUUGACUUGUUGUGGUGUUUUGAAGAUGACUGCAAGCUUGGUUAAGGAUGACUGAAUUACACCAUGUAAAAUAAUUUACAAUCAUUUUACUAGAAAGUUAAUGUAAGCCUCAUUUUAUACAAAUAUUAAAAUAUUACUGUGCGUAAUAACACAUUCCAUUUGCUUCCUAAUUAAAGCAUUAGUGAAAACCCUCA